CGGAAGUAGUUCAGUGGUAGAACAUCACCUUGCCAAGGUGGGGGUCGCGGGUUCGAACCCCGUCUUCCGCU
Molecule: transfer RNA, 71 nt
Filed under: Listeria monocytogenes
Lineage: Bacteria; Bacillati; Bacillota; Bacilli; Caryophanales; Listeriaceae
Description: tRNA-Gly
Rfam family: tRNA
About the family: Transfer RNA (tRNA) molecules are approximately 80 nucleotides in length.
Source: RNAcentral